UUAAAUACACAGUGUUGAUGCUGUUUUAACACUGUCUGGUAAUAAAAUAACACUGCCAUUGCUAGGCCAGUGUUAUAUCCACGACAGUGUCAGUGUAAAACAAGGGUGUUACCAGAUUUCACUCUGAGCGGUGUAAAUCAAGCCACGCCUCCACUAAACAUUUCCUGUCAGGGAUUUUACCGCCAUUUUCUUUCAAAGGAGGACUGAAGAGAGCAGAUGCUAGUUUGGUUAAAGUACACACUGAGUGCUUCAAAUCAUUCAGAAGAGAUGCUGUUUUUAGGGCAGUUUAUUAAAGAAGACCUGACAUGGAUGACUUCCAAUGAGAAACGACUGCUAAUACUUAUAUAAAUUCAUUACAGAAGGACCCUACCAGACUAUAUUUGAAUACGGCAUACCCGUGAAUUCUGGAACUGUUAUUCCUUAACCCAGUUUGGAGGAUAAGAGCUUACUAUGUGAGUACACACAGUACUUUAGUACUGUACACUGUCUCUAACAUGAUUAUACUGAGAUGAUUUUGAUUCAAAUAACGGUUAAAACUGCAUCCUUUUUGGUAUUUUCUUGACCCUUUUUGUCUUUGAAAAUCUGCAGAUAUAUGCUGAGGCGAUGUAUUGCAAAAUAGCCAACAUACAACAAUUAAAGGAUAAUUGCAGCCUAUAUCCUGAUGAAGAUAUGGAUGACCCUCUGUCUGGUCAACAGGAGUUUAAAUAUGGAUGGGACAGUGAUGUGGCAGCUCUUCCCUGGCUCAUUCACCUCUUGCCUUCAUUUGUGAAAGGAGGAAAGACUGGAGAGGGUCAAUGUGCAACUGAAGCUACUGAUUGUGCUGUGUGAUGAGCAUCAAUCCAUGCUUUGAGGUGGAUGGAUCAGCACAGCCCUGCCUGCUCUGCGUUGGGAACAAAAGUUGCAUCCAGAAUUUUUGCAUCAUUCUGGACCAAAAAGCCAUUCCCUCCAUGAUGAAGACCACUGAUGCAGCCUUCCACUACUGUACAGUAAAACAACUACAGAACUAAAUACCAGGUUGGAACGUGUUUAAGAAAAAUGAAACGUCUUUUGAAUUGAAAUGUCUGUUUUGUUAUGGAAAAAUCUUUAGUAUUGUGAAGGAUAAGCAUUUCUGCUUGCCGAUAAGGUAAUUGCAUGUAUUUUAAUGUUCAAGUUUUGAGUAGGGUGGCUAAUUUUUUUAACUCUUAUUUGAUUUAUUAAAGACCUUUAUAAUAAGUGGUUUUCAUGUCACUGCGCUGUGGUAUAAGAUAACUUUCAUUAUUCCAUAUUGUAUUCUGUUUCUAAUUGUAGCUGAGGUAUUUAAAUAAGCAGUGUUAAAUGCAAAGUGUUGUGUGUAUCAAUGUAAAUAUUAAAUGUGAUUUACUUUAAUAAAAAGAGGUUUUGCAAUA
Molecule: non-coding RNA, 1385 nt
Organism: Misgurnus anguillicaudatus (oriental weatherfish)
Lineage: Eukaryota; Metazoa; Chordata; Actinopteri; Cypriniformes; Cobitidae
Source: RefSeq, a predicted model, not a curated record